CAGUCGCCACGGGAAUACAGAGGGUGCAAGCGUUAAUCGGAAUUACUGGGCGUAAAGCGCGCGUAGGUGGUUUGUUAAGUUGGAUGUGAAAUCCCCGGGCUCAACCUGGGAACUGCAUCCAAAACUGGCAGGCUAGAGUAGGGCAGAGGGUGGUGGAAUUUCCUGUGUAGCGGUGAAAUGCGUAGAUAUAGGAAGGAACACCAGUGGCGAAGGCGACCACCUGGGCUCAUACUGACACUGAGGUGCGUAAGCGUGGGGAGCAAACAGGAUUAGAUACCCCCGUAGUCCCUGUCUCUUAUAC
This 301-nucleotide ribosomal RNA is filed under the name uncultured bacterium. RNAcentral's name for it is "partial 16S ribosomal RNA". It matches the Rfam family "Bacterial small subunit ribosomal RNA", at positions 509 to 807 of the family's 1533-position model. The record is from RNAcentral.